Molecule: non-coding RNA, 80 nt
Organism: Ruminococcus sp. CAG:9
Lineage: Bacteria; Bacillati; Bacillota; Clostridia; Eubacteriales; Oscillospiraceae
Source: Rfam
GCGGAUAUGGCGGAAUUGGCAGACGUAGAAGGCUCAAACCCUUCGGAGAAAUCGUGUGGGUUCGAAUCCCACUAUCCGUA